GUCGCGGCCCAGAGUUCACCUGGGAGCGCGAAGAUCGGAUGAAACAAAAGUAUCCCCAACUGUUUGAGAACAGUACAACCGCUACUGAGGUUGAAGCUACGGAAUUUCGGGACGAAAUUCCAGAUCAACGGGGGGUGGAUGUGACACCCCAGGAAAACCGGGAAAACCAGACAACUUAACUAGCUUCCUCAGUGAGUGCCAUCAAAUUUCGGGACGAAAUUUCUUUCAACUUGGGGAUGAUGUGACAACCUGAAACUUAGAACCUUUCAUUGUAUCGUGAUGUAACAUGCUUGAACACUAUGUGAGCCGAGAACCCAACUCGAGACAACAAGGAACCCGACUUGAGACCAUGAGGUCUCGAGUGUAUAGUAACCGAAUGGGCCUUGGGCCGAGAACCUAGUGACCGGUUUGGGCCAUUGGGCCGUGACCUCCUUAACCGGCUAGUAAGCCCUUUAGGGUGCACCUUGUGGAACUAGUAUAUAUAGCAAACCCCUUGCCAACCUUGUCACUCUUUGGGCAACCACACUCACACUCCUACACACACACUCUCACUAAAACCCUAGAAACACAAACACACCUCCAAGCUCUCGAACCCAAUCGGUUGGCACAAGAACCCUCGGAUUUGGACUUUGGAUCGACUCACACACGCACCUCAUCAACCGGUUAGUGUUUCUCGAUGUUUAUGGUUGAAUAUGGUUGAUUCUUGUUGUGUUUUGUGAUGCAUGAUAAAGCUAAUUGACAAGAUGAUGUUGUUGAGAUAUGCAUGAUGUUCA
Molecule: long non-coding RNA, 773 nt
Filed under: Helianthus annuus (common sunflower)
Lineage: Eukaryota; Viridiplantae; Streptophyta; Magnoliopsida; Asterales; Asteraceae
Description: hypothetical non coding rna
Source: RNAcentral